AUACGGAGGGUGCAAGCGUUACUCGGAAUCACUGGGCGUAAAGCGCGCGCAGGCGGCUUGAUAAGUUGGAUGUGAAAGCCUACGGCUCAACCGUAGAACUGCAUCCAAAACUAUUUAGCUAGAGUGUGGGAGAGGAAGAUGGAAUUGGUUGUGUAGGGGUAAAAUCCGUAGAGAUAACUAGGAAUACCAAAAGCGAAGGCAAUCUUCUGGAACACUACUGACGCUGAGGCGCGAAGGCGUGGGGAGCAAACCGGAUUAGAAACCCCGGUAGUCC
This 274-nucleotide ribosomal RNA is filed under the name uncultured bacterium. RNAcentral's name for it is "partial 16S ribosomal RNA". It matches the Rfam family "Bacterial small subunit ribosomal RNA", at positions 523 to 796 of the family's 1533-position model. The record is from RNAcentral.